This 497-nucleotide ribosomal RNA is filed under the name uncultured bacterium. Its description in RNAcentral is "partial 16S ribosomal RNA". It matches the Rfam family "Bacterial small subunit ribosomal RNA", at positions 28 to 507 of the family's 1533-position model. The record is from RNAcentral.
GAUGAACGCUGGCGGCGUGCCUAAUACAUGCAAGUCGAGCGAACAGACGAGGAGCUUGCGCCUCUGACGUUAGCGGCGGACGGGUGAGUAACACGUGUAUAACCUACUUAUAAGACGGGUAUAACUUCGGGAAACCGGAGCUAAUACCGGAGAAUAUAUUGAACCGCAUGGUGGAAUAGUGAAAGACGGUUUUGCGGUCACGUAUAGAUGGAUCCGCGCGGCAUUAGCUGGUUGGUAGGUUAACGGCUUACCAAGGCAACGAUGCGUAGCCGAACUGAGAGGGUGAUAGGCGACAUGGGAAGUGGGCCACGGACCAGAGUCCUACGGGAGGCCGCAGUAGGGAAUCUUACGCAGUAGGGGAAAGCAUGACGGAGCGACGCCGAGUGAGUGAUGAAGGUGUUCGGAUCGUAAAACUCUGUUAUUAGGGAAAAACAAAUGUGUAAGUAACUAUGCACGUAUUGACGGUAACUAAUAAAAAAGCACCGGCUAACUACGUG